CCCCCAGCCAGCAGUGGCAACGUGCUCAGGUCCCCUUCUACACUGUGGAAGCUUUGUUCUUUUGCUCUUCACAAUAAAUCUUGCUGCUGCUCACUCUUUGGGUCCGUGCCACCUUUAAGAGCUGUAACUCCACAAAGGUCCGUGGCUUCAUUCUUGAAGUCAGCAAGACCAAGAACUCACUGGAAGGAACCAACUCUGGACAAAUCUUGGCAACCACGAAGGGACUAUUGCCAAGCUGCCAAGCAAUGGGAAACACUCAGGCACCAACAGCCUCACCCUUGAAAUGCAUCCUAAGCCACUGAGACCAAUUUGACCCACAAACUCUGAAAAAGAAGCGGCUCACUUUUUCUGCACUGUGGCCUGGCCCCAAUAUUCUCUCUCUGAUGGGGAAAAAUGGCCACCUGAGGGAAGUAUAAAUUACAAUACUAUCCUGCAGCUUGACCUUUUCUGUAAGAGGAAAGGCAAAUGGAGUGAAAUACCUUAUGUUCAAGCUUUCUUUUCAUUGAAGGA
RNAcentral lists this long non-coding RNA (510 nucleotides) under Homo sapiens (human). Its description in RNAcentral is "HSALNT0169013". Lineage: Eukaryota; Metazoa; Chordata; Mammalia; Primates; Hominidae. The record is from RNAcentral.